Molecule: unclassified non-coding RNA, 380 nt
Filed under: uncultured Gemmatimonadaceae bacterium
Lineage: Bacteria; Pseudomonadati; Gemmatimonadota; Gemmatimonadia; Gemmatimonadales; Gemmatimonadaceae
Description: contains 16S-23S intergenic spacer region
Source: RNAcentral
UCCGGUUUGGCACCGGCAGUCUUCCUAGAGUCCCCGCCAUGACGCGCUGGCAACUAGGAACGAGGGUUGCGCUCGUUGCGGGACUUAACCCAACAUCUCACGACACGAGCUGACGACAGCCAUGCAGCACCUGUGACUGAGUCCCGAAGGAGGCCCACGGUUUCCCGCAGGUUUCCCAGCCAUGUCAAGCCCAGGUAAGGUUCUUCGCGUUGCGUCGAAUUAAACCACCUGCUCCACCGCUUGUGCGGGCCCCCGUCAAUUCCUUUGAGUUUCAGCCUUGCGGCCGUACUCCCCAGGCGGGGUACUUAAUGCGUUAGCGCCGGCACUCAGGGGGUCGCUCCCCCAAGCACCUAGUACCCAUCGUUUACGGCGUGGACUAC